GGUAAUACCAUGCGGCUCAUAAAUUUGAAGAUUCUAGCAAUUAAAUAUCUGAGAUGAUGAAUGCAAAGAAACUCAAAGUAAUAUUUUUGUUUGGUCUUGUUCUUUUCUGGCAAAUCCAAGGGGUAAACGACGACAUGUCAACAGAUAAUGGAGAAUGGUCUCUCCUAUUAUGUUUCCCCGUUAAUGCGAGUGGGUGUGGACUUUGUUAUACAAGGGCAUUUGGGAGCAGCACAGACAACAGGAAUCGUAUUGGAGGACCCGGGAAAUGGCUAUACAGUUGUCAGUGCAGGGAGCUCGAGGAGCAAUGAAUAAUUAUAGUGUAUAGCAGGCAAUAACACACUGCUAUAGUCAGGAAUACGCUUACA
Molecule: long non-coding RNA, 365 nt
Organism: Halichondria panicea
Lineage: Eukaryota; Metazoa; Porifera; Demospongiae; Suberitida; Halichondriidae
Exons: 3
Source: RefSeq, a predicted model, not a curated record